Molecule: non-coding RNA, 1517 nt
Organism: Pelodiscus sinensis (Chinese soft-shelled turtle)
Lineage: Eukaryota; Metazoa; Chordata; Testudines; Trionychidae
Source: RefSeq, a predicted model, not a curated record
GCCGCCAUCGUGCUGAGCAGUUGCUGUGUCGUUCGUCCUGUGCUAAAUGUGCUGGAGGUGGUCCAUGAAAAUUUUUUGAUUGGCCUGGUGGUCUGUGGACUGAAAUGAGUUGAGAACUACUGGCAUAAUGGAACAUUCCACCCAAACUUCCCUGUGAAAACUUGCUUCGCUGUAGAAAACCCCCGUCUAUUCACUCAACCUCAGUUGUCACCUAUCACUCCACAUUGGAAGCCAUAUAUGGGUAUCAUUAAAACCAAUGGUGUGCCACCAAGACUAGUGAGUGGACUGCAAGAGUGGCUCUCAUGAUUGGAAUCCAGUGGUGGCAACCUGCAGCCCACUGGGAAUUCAGCGGCAACUCGUGUACCUCCCCCCCUCCUUUCCCCCAUGCCUCUCACACACUGGGGCACUGGAGCGCCACAUUUCCUACUCCUGCCCUUCCCAGCACUUCCCAUCAGCUGUUAACAGUUCUUCAAGCUCUGGAAGGGAGAGGGAGGAGUAGGAAGUGCAGGACUCCAGUGCCCCAGUGCAUGAAAGAUGUACAGAGAGACUAUGUGCAGGCCUCAGGUGGAACCUCAGUGAAUUGUAUGCAGCCCACGAGCCACAGGUUGCCUACCACUGUAUUAAACAAUGACAGUCCUCAAUGGAGACCACAUCCUGAAAGAAAUUUUCCCAAACCCUGAUUCUGUCCUUCAAACAACCCCCACAACUUCAUAUCAGAAGCAAGCUCCCCACAAAUAAGGAUUCCUUAACAUAAAGGAUCAGAUCUUGUCAGAAAAACAGAUGCAAAACCUGUUGACAUAUUUCCACUGCUACACCAAUCCCACCCUCUCCAUAUACCUUGCAAAAUCCAUGGGUCCUAUUAAUGCCUAUCACAAUGUGCAUUAAAUACCUCCAAUGAUGAAAGCAAGAAUACCAUAUUACCCACAGGGUGAACACUUACCACAGAAUGAUCAUUCCAUAUCUGACCUCUCAGUCCUCAUCUUCAAAGGAAAGUCACAAAACGCUUUCAAAACACAAACCUGAGAACUUAAAUUCAUACUGUUUAUAGACACUACAAAUCAUAGUCUUACUAAGGCUCCAGAUUGAUUGAAAUCUAUAACCCUCUAGCCUCUGCCCUCCUUUAUUUGUCCCAUGAUUGGAGAAGUGUUAACGGGACCACUCCACUUUAAAUGGUCUUUUAGUGCUAAAUAGUCUGUUCCAUCUUUUAUUUAGCUGCAAGACUCUUGAGCAUAAAUCUUUACUAAAGAUGUUAAAUGGCUCUUAUCUGGCUAAUUGUGUAGCCGAUAAAAUUGUAUCGGCUACAUGAUUAGUCGAUAAGAGGACCCUCUGCAGAGCUGCAGCAGGAGCCGGCUGGAACCAGGACUGAGCAGUCCCGGGUUUUGCCGCCUCUGCACUGCGGUGGCUCUUACUACAUUUAAUCCUGCAGAGCCAUAACAUCCUGGACUGGGGUGAGCUGGUAGAGAUGUAGCCGUGUUAGUCUAGUCUAGCUGAAACAAAAAACAGGACUAUGUAGCAUU